UGGGGAAUAUUGCGCAAUGGGGGAAACCCUGACGCAGCAACGCCGCGUGAAGGAUGAAGGUUUUCGGAUUGUAAACUUCUUUGACGAGGGACGAAUAACUGACGGUACCUCGAAAACAAGCUCCGGCUAACUACGUGCCAGCAGCCGCGGUAAUACGUAGGGAGCGAGCGUUGUCCGGAUUUACUGGGUGUAAAGGGCGAGUAGGCGGGAUGACAAGUCAGAUGUGAAAACUAUGGGCUCAACCCAUAGCCUGCAUUUGAAACUGUUGUUCUUGAGUGAUGGAGAGGCAGGCGGAAUUCCUAGUGUAGCGGUGAAAUGCGUAGAUAUUAGGAGGAACACCAGUGGCGAAGGCGGCCUGCUGGACAUUAACUGACGCUGAGGCGCAAAAGCGUGGGGAGCAAACAGGAUUAGAUACCCUGGUAGU
This 424-nucleotide ribosomal RNA is filed under the name uncultured Oscillospiraceae bacterium. RNAcentral's name for it is "bacterial SSU rRNA". It matches the Rfam family "Bacterial small subunit ribosomal RNA", at positions 355 to 794 of the family's 1533-position model. Lineage: Bacteria; Bacillati; Bacillota; Clostridia; Eubacteriales; Oscillospiraceae. The record is from RNAcentral.